CCUACGGGGGGCAGCAGUGGGGAAUAUUGCACAAUGGGGGGAACCCUGAUGCAGCGACGCCGCGUGAGUGAAGAAGUAUUUCGGUAUGUAAAGCUCUAUCAGCAGGGAAGAAAAUGACGGUACCUGACUAAGAAGCCCCGGCUAACUACGUGCCAGCAGCCGCGGUAAUACGUAGGGGGCAAGCGUUAUCCGGAUUUACUGGGUGUAAAGGGAGCGCAGACGGCUGUGCAAGUCUGGAGUGAAAGGCGGGGGCCCAACCCCCGGACUGCUCUGGAAACUGUAAAGCUGGAGUGCAGGAGAGGUAAGCGGAAUUCCUAGUGUAGCGGUGAAAUGCGGAGAUAUUAGGAGGAACACCAGUGGCGAAGGCGGCUUACUGGACUGCAACUGACGUUGAGGCUCGAAAGCGUGGGGAGCAAACAGGAUUAGAUACCCGAGUAGUC
Molecule: ribosomal RNA, 440 nt
Filed under: uncultured bacterium
Lineage: Bacteria
Description: partial 16S ribosomal RNA
Rfam family: Bacterial small subunit ribosomal RNA
Source: RNAcentral